ACAACCCCAAGAUCAGGAGUCACAUGCUCUUCCAACUAAAUCAGCCAAGUUCCCAAGACUGACUUUCUUUGUAUAUCUGGAAAUACGGCAUUCCCAAGUUUUGCAUCUGGCUAUUUCUACCAUUAGAAAAGAACUAAUACCCUUAAUUCAAGUUUGAGAAAUCCUGGGGGAAAAAAGUGCUGAUCGUCCAGGCUUGGAUCAGUGCUCAUCCCUAGAACAAUCCCAGGGCCAAGAGAAAAGUUAGGGUACACCAUAGAUGUACACCAUAGUACUCACUAAUCAGAUGAGAAAAAGUGAGAGAUGGAUCUGGAAAGGCAGUUGAGAAUUGUAAGACUGUGCUCUGGAAGCUGGUAAGGACUGAACCUGGCAUCUGCAAAACGAGUUUUUUAACCAAGGGGUUGUGGGAGAGUGGCGGGAAUGUGUUGGCCCAAAAUCACGGUUAACAUUUUCUAGACUAUGAGUUAAGAUAGGGUUGAAACUUUUGUUAUUAUUCAAAUUGAUUAAUGUUUUGUCAUUUCAGUCAGGAUGUUAUGAAACAUGGUGGAUCUCUCACAUUGACUUUAACGACAGCAAGACCUGGGAUCCUUCUUCAACCUUCUAGCUGGUUGACUUUAGAGAACGUAGAAGAUUUUCAUUUCUACAGGCCACCACCCUUUGUUUGCAAUCAUCAUUAGCAUUUGCCAUUGGCACAUCAACAGUCCAUUACGAUUCUCAAAUUGGAGCUCACUUCACUUCCAUUUUGACCAACUCCAUGGUGGGCUGUAGGAGUCUCAAUCGCACAUUGGAAAAAAGAGGCCUCAAGUGGGGAAGGCUGCCUACUUCAUAGCUGUUCCAGGACAAAGCCAGAGCCCGGCCCCAAUGCACGGAGAGCCUCAGGCAGGGUUCUGAGUGACCUGGCUGAUCCUGAAGCUGGAGCUGAUACCGGAGCCAGCUCCAAGUGGGUUAUCUGGGACUGGCCUUGACUGUGCUGCAGAGUGGCCUGUGGGUGGACACUCUCUGAGCAGCUGGGUCUGAUGCAAACAUUGACAUCGGCAGAAUCAUCUUGACCAAGUGGGGUGAGGGCAGGGCAGGGCAGGGCGGGGCUGAAGGGACAGGCCUUGCAUACCAUCCAGGUACACCCAGGGAUCUGGAAUCCCAGGGGCUUGCCCAAAUUUUAUCCCCUGGAUACAUUACACCCCUCUGGGGCUACGACAUAGGCCCCUUUUGGGAGGGUCCCUGAAAGUGAGGAAAGGGCAGUAAUGGUCAGAGCCCCUACGCCUCCAGAAGGCAGCCUAGCAUGUGGGGAAUUUCCUUCAAGGGCCAGGAAAUCAUAAUAACCGCUGCUGAGCACAGGUUGUAUGCCAGGCUCACCCAGCACUUGCCUGGCAUUUUCCGUGGGUCCUCAGAAGCAGACAGACCUCCAGCUUCAGAGCCAUCAGGACCAGGAUAGUGGGAGAUGGCUCCGGCCUGGAACUUCCCACUGCUCAGGGCUGCAACAGAGGUGGUGGGGACAGGAACGCAGGGAGAACAGGGGCUGUUGUCUGAGAGGGACAGGGGUUUAGCUUUGCUUCCCUUCAUUUGUUACUAAAGAAAAGAAAGUAAUCUGACUUUAAACUAACAAAUCCAAUACGCCAGCUGCAGGCCAGACUGCCCACGUGUGAAACCUAGAAAAAACCUUGAGUUCAUCUGUCUAAACAUGGGGAAACUGAGGCCCACAGACAUGACAGGACUGGCUUGACUUGAUGGACCGGGACUUUAAUAUAGGUGUCUCCUCUCCUUGUGUAUCGUAAUUUCCAUCCAGGAAGGGAGGGGCUGUUAUCCUAAAGGUGUCAGACUUCAGGUAACGAGGACCGGCACCCUCCUCUUCCUCACACUUCAUGCACCACCUCUUGCCCACAACCCCAUUCAGAAUGAGUCACCCAAGCAUUAACAGUAAAUAAAGGUACUGUCUCUGGGU
Felis catus (domestic cat) is the source of this 1936-nucleotide long non-coding RNA. RefSeq lists it as uncharacterized. The transcript has 3 exons. Lineage: Eukaryota; Metazoa; Chordata; Mammalia; Carnivora; Felidae. The record is from RefSeq and is a predicted model, not a curated record.